RNAcentral lists this ribosomal RNA (279 nucleotides) under Fusarium sp. RNAcentral describes it as "partial small subunit ribosomal RNA". It matches the Rfam family "Eukaryotic small subunit ribosomal RNA", at positions 95 to 377 of the family's 1831-position model. The record is from RNAcentral. Lineage: Eukaryota; Fungi; Ascomycota; Sordariomycetes; Hypocreales; Nectriaceae.
GGCUCAUUAUAUAAGUUAUCGUUUAUUUGAUAGUACCUUACUACUUGGAUAACCGUGGUAAUUCUAGAGCUAAUACAUGCUAAAAAUCCCGACUUCGGAAGGGAUGUAUUUAUUAGAUUAAAAACCAAUGCCCUUCGGGGCUCACUGGUGAUUCAUGAUAACUCCUCGAAUCGCAUGGCCUUGUGCCGGCGAUGGUUCAUUCAAAUUUCUUCCCUAUCAACUUUCGAUGUUUGGGUAUUGGCCAAACAUGGUUGCAACGGGUAACGGAGGGUUAGGGCU